GACGAACCGUGCGAACGUUGUUCGGAAUCACUGGGCUUAAAGGGCGCGUAGGCGGGAUGGCAAGUCGGUCGUGAAAUCCCUCGGCUCAACCGAGGAACGUCGAUCGAUACUGCUGUUCUUGAGGAUUGCAGAGGAGACUGGAAUUCCCGGUGUAGCGGUGAAAUGUGUAGAGAUCGGGGGGAACACCGGUGGCGAAGGCGGGUCUCUGGGCAAUUCCUGACGCUGAGGCGCGAAAGCGUGGGGAGCAAACGGG
RNAcentral lists this ribosomal RNA (253 nucleotides) under uncultured bacterium. Its description in RNAcentral is "partial 16S ribosomal RNA". It matches the Rfam family "Bacterial small subunit ribosomal RNA", at positions 524 to 776 of the family's 1533-position model. The record is from RNAcentral.